RNAcentral lists this long non-coding RNA (367 nucleotides) under Monodelphis domestica (gray short-tailed opossum). RNAcentral's name for it is "lncRNA (ENSMODG00000050398.1)". The record is from RNAcentral. Lineage: Eukaryota; Metazoa; Chordata; Mammalia; Didelphimorphia; Didelphidae.
AACACACUUACAGAUGAGUCUAGAAAGUUGACUCUGAAAUUGAAGAGGAAAUCAGCUAAGUCAAUAUGAAUGAGGGGCUAUGGGCUUUGUUCAUAGCUGAUCAAUGUCAUUUUACCCUGACACAGGUCAGCAAGGGAUCAUCCAGUAUCAGUAGCAAUACUGUUGAUACAAAUAUGUUCUUUGUUAUCAGAGAAUUCUAGUAGAAUGAGAACUCCUUAAGGUCAGGAAUGAUGUCAUUUUUUUUGUUGUUGUUUUUGUUUUUGCAUCCCUAGCACCUAUAACUGUGUCUGGCAUUGUAGGUAUUUAAUGAAUGAUUGUUCAUUUGAAUGGAAAUAAAAGUUUAUUUCUAUUUUUAAAAGAGAAUCUG